CUGGAGGUAUCAGAAGUGCGAAUGCUGACAUAAGUAACGAUAAAGCGGGUGAAAAGCCCGCUCGCCGGAAGACCAAGGGUUCCUGUCCAACGUUAAUCGGGGCAGGGUGAGUCGACCCCUAAGGCGAGGCCGAAAGGCGUAGUCGAUGGGAAACGGGUUAAUAUUCCCGUACUUGGUGUUACUGCGAAGGGGGGACGGAGAAGGCUAUGUUGGCCGGGCGACGGUUGUCCCGGUUUAAGCGUGUAGGUGUGUGUUCCAGGUAAAUCCGGUUCACUUUAACACUGAGGCGUGACGACGAGGCACUACGGUGCUGAAGCAACAAAUGCCCUGCUUCCAGGAAAAGCCUCUAAGCAUCAGGUAACAUCAAAUCGUACCCCAAACCGACACAGGUGGUCAGGUAGAGAAUACCAAGGCGCUUGAGAGAACUCGGGUGAAGGAACUAGGCAAAAUGGUGCCGUAACUUCGGGAGAAGGCACGCUGACACGUAGGUGAAGUGAUUUACUCAUGGAGCUGAAGUCAGUCGAAGAUACCAGCUGGCUGCAACUGUUUAUUAAAAACACAGCACUGUGCAAACACGAAAGUGGACGUAUACGGUGUGACGCCUGCCCGGUGCCGGAAGGUUAAUUGAUGGGGUCAGCGCAAGCGAAGCUCCUGAUCGAAGCCCCGGUAAACGGCGGCCGUAACUAUAACGGUCCUAAGGUAGCGAAAUUCCUUGUCGGGUAAGUUCCGACCUGCACGAAUGGCGUAAUGAUGGCCAGGCUGUCUCCACCCGAGACUCAGUGAAAUUGAACUCGCUGUGAAGAUGCAGUGUACCCGCGGCAAGACGGAAAGACCCCGUGAACCUUUACUAUAGCUUGACACUGAACAUUGAGCCUUGAUGUGUAGGAUAGGUGGGAGGCUUUGAAGUGUGGACGCCAGUCUGCAUGGAGCCGACCUUGAAAUACCACCCUUUAAUGUUUGAUGUUCUAACGUGGACCCGUGAUCCGGGUUGCGGACAGUGUCUGGUGGGUAGUUUGACUGGGGCGGUCUCCUCCUAAAGAGUAACGGAGGAGCACGAAGGUUGGCUAAUCCUGGUCGGACAUCAGGAGGUUAGUGCAAUGGCAUAAGCCAGCUUGACUGCGAGCGUGACGGCGCGAGCAGGUGCGAAAGCAGGUCAUAGUGAUCCGGUGGUUCUGAAUGGAAGGGCCAUCGCUCAACGGAUAAAAGGUACUCCGGGGAUAACAGGCUGAUACCGCCCAAGAGUUCAUAUCGACGGCGGUGUUUGGCACCUCGAUGUCGGCUCAUCACAUCCUGGGGCUGAAGUAGGUCCCAAGGGUAUGGCUGUUCGCCAUUUAAAGUGGUACGCGAGCUGGGUUUAGAACGUCGUGAGACAGUUCGGUCCCUAUCUGCCGUGGGCGCUGGAGAACUGAGGGGGGCUGCUCCUAGUACGAGAGGACCGGAGUGGACGCAUCACUGGUGUUCGGGUUGUCAUGCCAAUGGCACUGCCCGGUAGCUAAAUGCGGAAGAGAUAAGUGCUGAAAGCAUCUAAGCACGAAACUUGCCCCGAGAUGAGUUCUCCCUGAGACUUAAAGUCUCCUGAAGGAACGUUGAAGACGACGACGUUGAUAGGCCGGGUGUGUAAGCGCAGCGAUGCGUUGAGCUAACCGGUACUAAUGAACCGUGAGGCUUAACCUUACA
This 1677-nucleotide ribosomal RNA is filed under the name Salmonella enterica. RNAcentral describes it as "partial 23S ribosomal RNA". It matches the Rfam family "Bacterial large subunit ribosomal RNA", at positions 1273 to 2925 of the family's 2925-position model. The record is from RNAcentral. Lineage: Bacteria; Pseudomonadati; Pseudomonadota; Gammaproteobacteria; Enterobacterales; Enterobacteriaceae. RNAcentral also lists the same sequence under 1 other name.